GACAGAGGUUGCAAACGUUGUUCGGAAUUACUGGGCAUAAAGCGCACGUAGGCGGUCCGUUAAGUCAUGUGUGAAAUCCCCCGGCUCAACCGGGGAAUUGCGCCUGAUACUGGCGGGCUAGAGGUCGAUAGGGGUGAGCGGAACUCCAGGUGGAGCGGUGAAAUGCGUAGAUAUCUGGAGGAACACCGGUGGCGAAGGCGGCGAUCUGGCCCAACACUGACACUCAGACCCGAAAGUGCGGGGAUCAAACAGG
Molecule: ribosomal RNA, 253 nt
Filed under: uncultured bacterium
Lineage: Bacteria
Description: partial 16S ribosomal RNA
Rfam family: Bacterial small subunit ribosomal RNA
Source: RNAcentral